GCAAACUUGGUCAUUUAGAGGAAGUAAAAGUCGUAACAAGGUUUCCGUAGGUGAACCUGCGGAAGGAUCAUUAAAAUUCACGGUUUCGAACAGAAAUAUUCAAUACCACAAACCCCACCUGUGUUCCUCAGUCGUUGCUUCCGCCAGGCAGUGCAUCGUUCCCCCCACACCCCCUCCCCUCCACCUGCCGGUGUUGGGGUGGUGGUGGCGGGAGGAGAGGUGUCACCUUCGGACGAGUGGUCGAAUCGCCCUCGCACGGAGAGCCCUCGCGAGAGGACAUACAUCAAACCCUUGCAUUUUUCAUGUCGUCUGAAUCAAUUUUAAUCCGAAACAUUAAAACUUUCAACAACGGAUCUCUUGGUUCUCGCAUCGAUGAAGAACGCAGC
This 386-nucleotide unclassified non-coding RNA is filed under the name uncultured fungus. Its description in RNAcentral is "partial contains small subunit ribosomal RNA, internal transcribed spacer 1, and 5.8S ribosomal RNA". The stretch from base 1 to 73 matches the Rfam family "Eukaryotic small subunit ribosomal RNA", at positions 1759 to 1831 of the family's 1831-position model. Lineage: Eukaryota; Fungi. The record is from RNAcentral.